GUGGGACUUGAACCCACAAACUGCGAGAUCAUGACCUGAGCUGAGAGUUUGAGGAAUGAUAUUGACCAAAGGCCACAGUAAGAAACUUUAAGGAUUCAAGUGAACCACAGUUAAAAAGGGAUAGAUCGAAAUCAACACCUUUCACCAUAAGCCCAAAUCCAAUUAUGCUGUCCCCUUCCUCCACUAUGUAGUAUUGAUUAUUUACAAUUCCAAAUAUCUGUCUUCUGAUGUUUUAUUGAUAAUAUUUAGGACAAACCCCUCUGCAUCCCAAACAGGAACUUUGCGCUCUUCUGCUCCACACUUUGGUUCAUGUGAUUCCCAGCUUGUGAAAUGUCCUACACCAAGUACUCUUAACAAAAUCCUAAAUUCCUCAAGGUUUUAUUUAGUUCAUGUUUCUUGUGUGACUGUGAAACUACAAAAUGUACAGCAAUAAAUAAAUACAAUGAUUCU
Herpailurus yagouaroundi (jaguarundi) is the source of this 450-nucleotide long non-coding RNA. RefSeq lists it as uncharacterized. NCBI's taxonomy places the organism in Eukaryota, Metazoa, Chordata, Mammalia, Carnivora, Felidae. The record is from RefSeq and is a predicted model, not a curated record. The transcript has 2 exons.